AUUGAACGCUGGCGGCAGGCCUAACACAUGCAAGUCGAACGGUAACAGGAAGCAGCUUGCUGCUUCGCUGACGAGUGGCGGACGGGUGAGUAAUGUCUGGGAAGCUGCCUGAUGGAGGGGGAUAACUACUGGAAACGGUAGCUAAUACCGCAUAAUGUCGCAAGACCAAAGAGGGGGACCUUCGGGCCUCUUGCCAUCGGAUGUGCCCAGAUGGGAUUAGCUUGUUGGUGGGGUAACGGCUCACCAAGGCGACGAUCCCUAGCUGGUCUGAGAGGAUGACCAGCCACACUGGAACUGAGACACGGUCCAGACUCCUACGGGAGGCAGCAGUGGGGAAUAUUGCACAAUGGGCGCAAGCCUGAUGCAGCCAUGCCGCGUGGAUGAAGAAGGCCUUCGGGUUGUAAAGUACUUUCAGCGGGGAGGAAGGGAGUAAAGUUAAUACCUUUGCUCAUUGACGUUACCCGCAGAAGAAGCACCGGCUAACUCCGU
RNAcentral lists this ribosomal RNA (489 nucleotides) under uncultured bacterium. RNAcentral's name for it is "partial 16S ribosomal RNA". It matches the Rfam family "Bacterial small subunit ribosomal RNA", at positions 30 to 506 of the family's 1533-position model. The record is from RNAcentral.